CAGGGAAUAUUAGAAAUGGACGAAAGUCUGAUCUAGCAACACCGCGUGUGCGAAGAAGGCCUUCGGGUCGUAAAGCACUUUUUGGAAGGAAUAGGAAGGAAUGUACUUCCAGAAUAAGUCUUGGCUAACUACGUGCCAGCAGCCGCGGUAACACGUAGGAGGCGAACGUUAUCCGGAUUUACUGGGCGUAAAGCGCGUGUAGGUGGUACUGUAAGUAGGGCGUGAAAGCUCCUGGCUCAACUGGGAGAGGCCGUUCUAAACUACAGAACUAGAGGAUGGUAGAGGGAGGUGGAAUUCCAGGUGUAGCGGUGGAAUGCGCAGAUAUCUGGAGGAACACCGGUGGCGAAGGCGGCCUCCUGGACCAUUCCUGACACUCAGACGCGAAAGCUAGGGUAACAAACGG
Molecule: ribosomal RNA, 403 nt
Filed under: uncultured bacterium
Lineage: Bacteria
Description: bacterial SSU rRNA
Rfam family: Bacterial small subunit ribosomal RNA
Source: RNAcentral